UGAGGGAUACUGGUCAAUGGGCGCAAGCCUGAACCAGCGACGCCGCGUGGGUGAAGAAGGUCUUCGGAUCGUAAAGCCCUUUUCCCACUGAAGAGGAAGGACGGUAGGUGGGGAAGAAGUCUCGGCUAACUACAUGCCAGCAGCCGCGGUAAAACGUAGGAGACAAGCGUUAUCCGGAGUUACUGGGCGUAAAGGGCGUGCAGGUGGCGUCUUAAGUCUGUUGUGAAAGCGCCUGGCUUAACCGGGCGAGGCCAAUGGAGACUGAGAGGCUGGAGGACGGCGGAGGGGUGUGGAAUUCCGGGUGUAGUGGUGAAAUGCGUAGAGAUCCGGAGGAACACCAGAGGCGAAGGCGGCACUCUAAGCCGUACCUGACACUGAGACGCGACAGCACGGGGAGCAAACG
This 403-nucleotide ribosomal RNA is filed under the name uncultured bacterium. RNAcentral's name for it is "bacterial SSU rRNA". It matches the Rfam family "Bacterial small subunit ribosomal RNA", at positions 355 to 774 of the family's 1533-position model. The record is from RNAcentral.